UCAGCUGAUUUUGGUGACAACAAUCUUGUGGGGUGGGUAAAGCAGCAUGCGAAAUUGAAAAUAACAGAUGUUUUUGAUCCAGUACUUAUGAAAGAAGAUCCAAAUCUAAAGAUUGAGCUUUUGCGACACUUAGAGGUGGCCGGUGCUUGUUUGGAUGAUCGGCCAUGGAGACGACCCACUAUGAUUCAAGUUAUGGCAAUGUUUAAAGAAAUACAAGCCGGGUCAGGCCUUGACUCACAAUCCACCAUUGCCACCGAAGACGGAGGCUUUCAAAUGGUAGAGAUGAGCAUAAAAGAAGACCCUGAACAAGGCAAGUAGCAGGUGAAAGAAAAGCUGAAUCAAAAUUUUCCAGUGAAUUCUUUGAAAGAAAAGAAGAAAGGUGGUGAUGAUUGAUUCCGCUGCCACAAAAUUUUCCCUCUUCUCUUAUCACUUGAAAAUGGCAUAAAAAGAACUUGUCUGUGUAUCUCUCUACCAUUUAAUGUAUGUAUAAUGUACCCCUUCCUGCA
Molecule: unclassified non-coding RNA, 506 nt
Filed under: Hevea brasiliensis (rubber tree)
Lineage: Eukaryota; Viridiplantae; Streptophyta; Magnoliopsida; Malpighiales; Euphorbiaceae
Source: RNAcentral